AGUGAACGCUGGCGGUAGGCCUAACACAUGCAAGUCGAACGGCAGCACAGUAAGAGCUUGCUCUUACGGGUGGCGAGUGGCGGACGGGUGAGGAAUACAUCGGAAUCUACUUUUUCGUGGGGGAUAACGUAGGGAAACUUACGCUAAUACCGCAUACGACCUACGGGUGAAAGCAGGGGAUCUUCGGACCUUGCGCGAUUGAAUGAGCCGCUGUCGGAUUAGCUAGUUGGCGGGGUAAAGGCCCACCAAGGCGACGAUCCGUAGCUGGACUGAGAGGAUGAUAGGCCACACUGGAACUGAGACACGGUCCAGACGCCUAAGGGAGGCAGCAGUGGGGAAUAUUGGACAAUGGGCGCAAGCAUGAUCCAGCCAUACCGAGUGGGUGAAGAAGGCCUUCGGGUUGUAAAGACCUUUUGUUGGGAAAGAAAAGCAGCAGGUUAAGACCCAGCUGUUCUGACGGUACCCAAAGAAUAAGCACCGGCUAACUUCGUG
This 492-nucleotide ribosomal RNA is filed under the name uncultured bacterium. Its description in RNAcentral is "partial 16S ribosomal RNA". It matches the Rfam family "Bacterial small subunit ribosomal RNA", at positions 29 to 507 of the family's 1533-position model. The record is from RNAcentral.